AGUGAACGCUGGCGGUAGGCCUAACACAUGCAAGUCGAACGGCAGCACAGUAAGAGCUUGCUCUUACGGGUGGCGAGUGGCGGACGGGUGAGGAAUACAUCGGAAUCUACUUUUUCGUGGGGGAUAACGUAGGGAAACUUACGCUCAUACCGCAUACGACCUACGGGUGAAAGCAGGGGAUCUUCGGACCUUGCGCGAUUGAAUGAGCCGAUGUCGGAUUAGCUAGUUGGCGGGGUAAAGGCCCACCAAGGCGACGAUCCGUAGCUGGUCUGAGAGGAUGAUCGGCCACACUGGAACUGAGACACGGUCCGGACUCCUACGGGAGGCAGCAGUGGGGAAUAUUGGACAAUGGGCGCAAGCCUGAUCCAGCCAUACCGCGUGGGUGAAGAAGGCCUUCGGGUUGUAAAGCCCUUUUGUUGGGAAAGAAAAGCAGCAGGUUAAUACCCCGCUGUUCUGACGGUACCCAAAGAAUAAGCACCGGCUAACUUCGUG
Molecule: ribosomal RNA, 492 nt
Filed under: uncultured bacterium
Lineage: Bacteria
Description: partial 16S ribosomal RNA
Rfam family: Bacterial small subunit ribosomal RNA
Source: RNAcentral